GAUGAACGCUGGCGGCGUGCCUAAUACAUGCAAGUCGAGCGAACGGACGAGAAGCUUGCUUCUCUGAUGUUAGCGGCGGACGGGUGAGUAACACGUGGAUAACCUACCUAUAAGACUGGGAUAACUUCGGGAAACCGGAGCUAAUACCGGAUAAUAUUUUGAACCGCAUGGUUCAAAAGUGAAAGACGGUCUUGCUGUCACUUAUAGAUGGAUCCGCGCUGCAUUAGCUAGUUGGUAAGGUAACGGCUUACCAAGGCAACGAUGCAUAGCCGACCUGAGAGGGUGAUCGGCCACACGGGAACUGAGACACGGUCCAGACUCCGACGGGAGGCAGCAGUAGGGAAUCUUCCGCAAUGGGCGAAAGCCUGACGGAGCAACGCCGCGUGAGUGAUGAAGGUCUUCGGAUCGUAAAACUCUGUUAUUAGGGAAGAACAUAUGUGUAAGUAACUGUGCACAUCUUGACGGUACCUAAUCAGAAAGCCACGGCUAACUACGUG
Molecule: ribosomal RNA, 497 nt
Filed under: uncultured bacterium
Lineage: Bacteria
Description: partial 16S ribosomal RNA
Rfam family: Bacterial small subunit ribosomal RNA
Source: RNAcentral